UACGUAGGGUGCAAGCGUUGUCCGGAAUUAUUGGGCGUAAAGAGCUCGUAGGCGGUUUGUCGCGUCGGCUGUGAAAACUCGGGGCUCAACCCCGAGCCUGCAGUCGAUACGGGCAGACUAGAGUGCUGUAGGGGAGACUGGAAUUCCUGAUGUAGCGGUGAAAUGCGCAGAUAUCAGGAGGAACACCGGUGGCGAAGGCGGGUCUCUGGGCGAGUAAACU
Molecule: ribosomal RNA, 220 nt
Filed under: uncultured bacterium
Lineage: Bacteria
Description: partial 16S ribosomal RNA
Rfam family: Bacterial small subunit ribosomal RNA
Source: RNAcentral